UCCAUCCCAUAAUGCCGGAUCACUCCCUGAGCCGAAGGCAGACGCUUAACCGCUGUGCCACCCAGGCGCCCCAAGGGGUCUUGUCUCAUCCACCCCCUCUCAACCCCGUGCUUAGCAGAGGAGUAAAGCAAAUACUCAAAGUCUGUUUGUUCAAUAUUGAAUAAAAUUCGGGCAUUUCUUUUUCAAUAAUCAAACUGAAAAUCAUAAUGCUACCAAGUACUUCCUCAUUUGCCCUUUAAAGACAAAGAUAAAAGACACAUAUUUUCUUUUACAUGUAACAUAUUGUUAUGCUUAUUAACAAUUUCAGGGGGCUCAGAAAUAUUCCUUUGCUUCGAGUGUUCUCCAUCUGGAAGAGUUUAGCUAAUUAAACCAAAGAUCAUGGAUGAGUUGGCCCCAUUUAUCUCCAGUGGAUGAAAUCCUUUUCUCUCCCGAGGAUUCUUCAGACAAAUAUCAAAGAUACUCUGUCCACGAGCCUAGUUGAUGGAGCGUUCCUGUGGCCAAAGUUGAAGGGUCUCAACGUAAGGACUGCCAAGUGUGUGCCAAUGCCUCUUCCUCAGGCUUCUAGAGCCACCUGUCUUCUGGCUUUGCUGGGAUACCUACCCUUGAAGAAUUGAUCACCUAAUAGGGGUACAGAACACAGCCGCCGAAGCAGAAAUUUAUCUUGGCACCUGCUGAUGGAUGCAUGCACACAAGGAUCCAGAGAUUGAGUGAAGGAAGAUUCCUGGGACCAAGGAAAGCAGAAAUGGCGGGGCAUGCAUUACCUGUGACAAUGGUGCCAAAUCAGCAUGGAAUCUUUUUGAAGACAUUGUAACUGGUGGUUAAACUCAGCACCUGUACCGCUAACAAUGCACAAAGCUCAAGGAAAAGGGAGAAGAGAUGGAGAACCGUUCAGGUCAAGAAAUGAGGCUCAAAGAUGUGAAAUGAUGUGCCCAAGACCCCGUUGCUCCGCAGUCACAGAGCUGGAGUGGAGACUCAUCUACCUAAGCUCUUCCCAUUACAUCUGCUUGUCUCUUUGAAUUAUACAAGAAAGGCAAAGGGAGAGAGAGAGAGAGAGAGAGGGACACUAUAGUCCUUUUCACAUCGGUCCGAUUCACUUAGAGGGUAUCGUUGCUAUUUCCAAGUCUGGAGAUUUCACCCAUAGUCCGUUACCUCUUACCAGUGGAUCAGAGGGGCUCAGACUGCAGUGUUUGCUACCUGCCAACAGCCUGGGUUUCUUUUGGAUGGGUCUGGCUAUGACGUACCCUUCUGGGUACAUGACAUUUGGGAGCAGUCACUUUGACAAUGAAAGAAGAUACAUCUAUAGAUCAAAGUUGUAGAAGAAAUGUAGAUAUAGACAUUAAAGAGACUUCAAAGUAAAAACAUUCACAGACAAUGUGUAGAACCUGAUUGAAUCCUAGUUUGAAAAACCAGCAUUAAAAAAUACUUGGAGGUGGCACCUGGUUGGCUUAGUUGGUGGAGCGUGUGACUCUAUCUGAGUUGUGGGUUUGAACCCCAGGUUGGGUGUAGAGAUUACUUAAAAAUAAAAUCUUUAAAAAAAUAUUUGGGAACAAUUGUAUAUAUUUGAGUGUGGCUAGAAUAUUUGGUUAUAAUGAGGAAUGAGCGUUAAUUUUCUUGCGUAUGAUAACGCUAUUGAGGCUAUGUAGAGAACUGUCUUAUGUUUUAGAGAUACGUACUGAAGUAUUUAGGGAUGAAAUGUGUACUUUGAAACAUCAACAACAAAAACAGCAACAAAAAAACAGAUGAAGCAAACUUGGCAAAAUGUUAAGAACUGUUAAAUGUUGGUAAUAGGUAUGAGGAUGUUCGUUUUAUUAUUUUUUCUCCAUGACAUUUACCGUUUGAAGUAAGACAGUGGGGAUAUUUGGAUGAGGCUUAAGAAGGAAUGUGCUUAUCACUAGUAUUUGUCUUUUUUCUUUUCUUAUUGAAGUAUAGUUGACAGACAGCGUUCCGUCUCUGGUGUACAACACAGUGAUUUGACAAUUCUGUGCAUUACUCAAUGGUCACCAUGUCAGUGUAGUCACAGUCUUUCACUACACUCGUAUUUGCCUUGUUAUAUUUACUAUGGAUUGAUGAGUCAAUUUUCUUUAUUCCCUUUCCUCCUCAACUGGGGAUCUUGCUAGUUUUGAUUAUUCCUAGCACCUGUAUUCCUGGCAUCUAGCAUGGUCUCUAGUACACAGUUGGGUUGUUAAUUUUUUUUCUGCAAAGCUCAACUCUCACUGAUGAGAAUUGGCCUUUCUCCAUCAUUGCCAGCCUUUGCUUUGGUUCUCCCUGAUUCUGGCUUCAUCUCUGGCUCUGCAGGUUCCCCCAUCCACAGCCCUCCCCUGCCUCAUCUUGGUCUUUUCCUGGUCGAUCCCUGGGGUCUAUCCCACAGGCAGGAAGCAGAAGGCUGCUGGGGGCCCACAUGCCCAUCAGUCUGAGCGCCGGCAUGCAGCAUCUCCCACCCUCUCUCAUGAUCUGUUGCCAUCACACUAUGGACUCCUGGAGGCCAGAGACCUUCCCCUGCACGUCUUGGUAGCUGCUGGGGCACAUGGCGUGGCCCAUAACUGGUGCUCUGAAACCAUUUGUUGAUUGACCACUCGCAUUCCCCUU
Molecule: long non-coding RNA, 2586 nt
Organism: Ailuropoda melanoleuca (giant panda)
Lineage: Eukaryota; Metazoa; Chordata; Mammalia; Carnivora; Ursidae
Exons: 5
Source: RefSeq, a predicted model, not a curated record